AGUGAACGCUGGCGGUAGGCCUAACACAUGCCAGUCGAACGGCAGCACAGUAAGAGCUUGCUCUUACGGGUGGCGAGUGGCGGACGGGUGAGGAAUACAUCGGAAUCUACUUUUUCGUGGGGGAUAACGUAGGGACACUUACGCUAAUACCGCAUACGACCUACGGGUGAAAGCAUGGGAUCUUCGGACCUUGCGCGAUUGAAUGAGCCGAUGUCGGAUUAGCUAGUUGGCGGGGUAAAGGCCCACCAAGGCGACGAUCCGUAGCUGGUCUGAGAGGAUGAUCAGCCACACUGGAACUGAGACACGGUCCAGACUCCUACGGGAGGCAGCAGUGGGGAAUAUUGGACAAUGGGCGCAAGCCUGAUCCAGCCAUACCGCGUGGGUGAAGAAGGCCUUCGGGUUGUAAAGCCCUUUUGUUGGGAAAGAAAAGCAGCAGGUUAAUACCCCGCUGUUCUGACGGUACCCAAAGAAUAAGCACCGGCUAACUUCGUG
Molecule: ribosomal RNA, 492 nt
Filed under: uncultured bacterium
Lineage: Bacteria
Description: partial 16S ribosomal RNA
Rfam family: Bacterial small subunit ribosomal RNA
Source: RNAcentral